Molecule: ribosomal RNA, 1517 nt
Filed under: Escherichia coli
Lineage: Bacteria; Pseudomonadati; Pseudomonadota; Gammaproteobacteria; Enterobacterales; Enterobacteriaceae
Description: partial 23S ribosomal RNA
Rfam family: Bacterial large subunit ribosomal RNA
Source: RNAcentral
GUGACAGCCCCGUACACAAAAAUGCACAUAUUGUGAGCUCGAUGAGUAGGGCGGGACACGUGGUAUCCUGUCUGAAUAUGGGGGGACCAUCCUCCAAGGCUAAAUACUCCUGACUGACCGAUAGUGAACCAGUACCGUGAGGGAAAGGCGAAAAGAACCCCGGCGAGGGGAGUGAAAAAGAACCUGAAACCGUGUACGUACAAGCAGUGGGAGCACGCUUAGGCGUGUGACUGCGUACCUUUUGUAUAAUGGGUCAGCGACUUAUAUUCUGUAGCAAGGUUAACCGAAUAGGGGAGCCGAAGGGAAACCGAGUCUUAACUGGGCGUUAAGUUGCAGGGUAUAGACCCGAAACCCGGUGAUCUAGCCAUGGGCAGGUUGAAGGUUGGGUAACACUAACUGGAGGACCGAACCGACUAAUGUUGAAAAAUUAGCGGAUGACUUGUGGCUGGGGGUGAAAGGCCAAUCAAACCGGGAGAUAGCUGGUUCUCCCCGAAAGCUAUUUAGGUAGCGCCUCGUGAAUUCAUCUCCGGGGGUAGAGCACUGUUUCGGCAAGGGGGUCAUCCCGACUUACCAACCCGAUGCAAACUGCGAAUACCGGAGAAUGUUAUCACGGGAGACACACGGCGGGUGCUAACGUCCGUCGUGAAGAGGGAAACAACCCAGACCGCCAGCUAAGGUCCCAAAGUCAUGGUUAAGUGGGAAACGAUGUGGGAAGGCCCAGACAGCCAGGAUGUUGGCUUAGAAGCAGCCAUCAUUUAAAGAAAGCGUAAUAGCUCACUGGUCGAGUCGGCCUGCGCGGAAGAUGUAACGGGGCUAAACCAUGCACCGAAGCUGCGGCAGCGACGCUUAUGCGUUGUUGGGUAGGGGAGCGUUCUGUAAGCCUGCGAAGGUGUGCUGUGAGGCAUGCUGGAGGUAUCAGAAGUGCGAAUGCUGACAUAAGUAACGAUAAAGCGGGUGAAAAGCCCGCUCGCCGGAAGACCAAGGGUUCCUGUCCAACGUUAAUCGGGGCAGGGUGAGUCGACCCCUAAGGCGAGGCCGAAAGGCGUAGUCGAUGGGAAACAGGUUAAUAUUCCUGUACUUGGUGUUACUGCGAAGGGGGGACGGAGAAGGCUAUGUUGGCCGGGCGACGGUUGUCCCGGUUUAAGCGUGUAGGCUGGUUUUCCAGGCAAAUCCGGAAAAUCAAGGCUGAGGCGUGAUGACGAGGCACUACGGUGCUGAAGCAACAAAUGCCCUGCUUCCAGGAAAAGCCUCUAAGCAUCAGGUAACAUCAAAUCGUACCCCAAACCGACACAGGUGGUCAGGUAGAGAAUACCAAGGCGCUUGAGAGAACUCGGGUGAAGGAACUAGGCAAAAUGGUGCCGUAACUUCGGGAGAAGGCACGCUGAUAUGUAGGUGAAGUCCCUCGCGGAUGGAGCUGAAAUCAGUCGAAGAUACCAGCUGGCUGCAACUGUUUAUUAAAAACACAGCACUGUGCAAACACGAAAGUGGACGUAUACGGUGUGACGCCUGCCCGGUGC